CGCGCAGGCGGAGUGUUAAGUAGGAAGUGAAAGGUCGGAGCUCAACUCCAACAUUGCUCCCUAUACUGGCUCUCUUGAGUCCCGGAGAGGAAAGCGGAACGACACGUGUAGCGGUGAAAUGCGUUGAUAUGUGUCGGAACACCAAUGGCGAAGGCAGCUUUCUGGACGGGUACUGACGCUCAGGCGCGAAAGCCGAGGUAGCGAACA
Molecule: ribosomal RNA, 207 nt
Filed under: uncultured bacterium
Lineage: Bacteria
Description: partial 16S ribosomal RNA
Rfam family: Bacterial small subunit ribosomal RNA
Source: RNAcentral